UACAGAGGUCCCAAGCGUUGUUCGGAUUUACUGGGCGUAAAGGGUGCGUAGGCGGUCGGGUAAGUCUGGUGUGAAAUCUUCGAGCUUAACUCGGAAACUGCAUUGGAUACUAUUCGGCUAGAGAGUUGGAGGGGGGAUUGGAAUACUUGGUGUAGCAGUGAAAUGCGUAGAUAUCAAGUGGAACACCAGUGGCGAAGGCGGCUACCUGGACCGGUUCUGACGCUGAUGCGCGAAAGCGUGGGUAGCAAACAGG
Molecule: ribosomal RNA, 253 nt
Filed under: uncultured bacterium
Lineage: Bacteria
Description: partial 16S ribosomal RNA
Rfam family: Bacterial small subunit ribosomal RNA
Source: RNAcentral